GCUGGGGGAGGCCGGCGGACACAGCGAGGACAAAGUGUCCCCUCGCGGCUCCGGCGCCCACAGUCCGGUCCGGCUCCGGCGCUCGGCGCUGCGCCGCGGGGAACUCGGCGCCCGGAGACCGUCUCAAUCCCCAGCCGCGCGACGGCUGCCCUCCCUCACCUUCCUCCCCGCGGCCCGCCCCGGGUCCCGGUCUUUAAAUACCCCCACUUCGCGCUGCGGACGGCGGCGGUAACAGCAGCUGGAAGCCGGGGCUGUCCCCUGUCCCUCCGUGGCCCGCGCCUGGCUGCCUCCGGGGCCCCCGGCCGGAAAGAAGCGUCGAGUCCCCGGCGCCCCACUGGCUCCUUGCCUCUGGGUGCCGUGGCCGUCCGGACACGCGUGUGCGCGCGCCCCACUCUUCCACGCACGCAGCCCGGGGGCCUGGGCGAGGAGUGUGAGACCGCCGUCACAGCACGCUCCCGAGGAAGCAGCGGCCCGCAGCACCAGCCACCGAGACGUGGGAACGCGACAAUUACCGUCCAGACAAAUCCACACCCGCUCUCCCCGCCCGCCCGACUCUCGGGGAGGCCCCGGGACGCCGCCGCAGCACUAGCCGGAGGAGGAGACCACUCGCUGGACACCCCACCCCUGGAGCAUACACACAGAGACCCAGGCGAGGGGCGGGCCCGGGGGCGGGGCCGCCCUGCCGCCUCGCCAAUCUCGCGCGCUCGCGCACUGCCCGACAGCGGACGGAGCCAAUGGGCGGGAGGUGCCCGCCCUCCUCGCGCUCCCACCCCGUCCACGUCCUCCACAGUACACAAUGGCCCCAAAGGAAGGCCCGCUCGCUGCGCGUCCCAAAUAGAAGGAGGCUUAGAGAAAUCGGCCUGGACUCCCCAGGGAACAAAAGUGGGAAAGGGAAAGGAAAUGAAAGAAACUACACCAGGCACCAGGGAGCUAACCAAUAAGGGGUGGGCAGGUGGGCGUGAACAUAGGGAGCGGGAGCCCAAGCUGACUGGGGCUACGAGGCGGGACUUCCUGCUUCGCUCACCUUCCCCGUCUUUUGUUUCAUAG
This 1047-nucleotide long non-coding RNA is filed under the name Oryctolagus cuniculus (rabbit). Its description in RNAcentral is "lncRNA (ENSOCUG00000038872.1)". Lineage: Eukaryota; Metazoa; Chordata; Mammalia; Lagomorpha; Leporidae. The record is from RNAcentral.